This 550-nucleotide ribosomal RNA is filed under the name uncultured Actinomycetes bacterium. RNAcentral's name for it is "bacterial SSU rRNA". It matches the Rfam family "Bacterial small subunit ribosomal RNA", at positions 254 to 816 of the family's 1533-position model. Lineage: Bacteria; Bacillati; Actinomycetota; Actinomycetes. The record is from RNAcentral.
GGGGUAAUGGCCUACCAAGGCGACGACGGGUAGCCGGCCUGAGAGGGCGACCGGCCACACUGGGACUGAGACACGGCCCAGACUCCUACGGGAGGCAGCAGUGGGGAAUAUUGCACAAUGGGCGAGAGCCUGGUGCAGCGACGCCGCGUGAGGGAUGACGGCCUUCGGGUUGUAAACCUCUUUCAGCAGGGACGAAGCGCAAGUGACGGUACCUGCAGAAGAAGCGCCGGCCAACUACGUGCCAGCAGCCGCGGUAAGACGUAGGGCGCGAGCGUUGUCCGGAUUUAUUGGGCGUAAAGAGCUCGUAGGCGGCUUGUUGCGUCGGCUGUGAAAACCCGCGGCUUAACCGUGGGCUUGCAACUGAUACGGGCAGGCUAGAGUUCGGUAGGGGAGACUGGAAUUCCUGGUGUAGCGGUGAAAUGCGCAGAUAUCAGGAGGAACACCGGUGGCGAAGGCGGGUCUCUGGGCCGAUACUGACGCUGAGGAGCGAAAGCGUGGGGAGCGAACAGGAUUAGAUACCCUGGUAGUCCACGCCGUAAACGUUGGGCAC